This 440-nucleotide ribosomal RNA is filed under the name uncultured bacterium. Its description in RNAcentral is "partial 16S ribosomal RNA". It matches the Rfam family "Bacterial small subunit ribosomal RNA", at positions 338 to 795 of the family's 1533-position model. The record is from RNAcentral.
CCUACGGGAGGCAGCAGUGGGGAAUAUUGCACAAUGGGGGAAACCCUGAUGCAGCGACGCCGCGUGAGUGAAGAAGUAAUUCGUUAUGUAAAGCUCUUUCAGCAGGGAAGCAAAUGACGGUACCUGAGUCAGAAGCCCCGGCUAACUACGUGCCAGCAGCCGCGGUCAUACGUCGGGGGCAAGCGUUAUCCGGAUUUACUGGGUGUAAAGGGAGCGUUGAUGGCAGUGCAAGUCUGGAGGGAAAGGCGGGGGCUCAACCCCCGGACUGCUGUGGAAACUGGACGGCUGGAGUGCAGGAGAGGUAAGUGGAAUUCCUGGUGUAGCGGUGAAAUGCGUAGAUAUUAGGAGGAACACCAGUGGCGAAGGCGGCUUACUGGACUGUAACUGACGUUGAGGCACGAAAGCGUGGGGAGCAAACAGGAUUAGAUACCCGUGUAGUC